Molecule: small RNA, 625 nt
Filed under: Pongo abelii (Sumatran orangutan)
Lineage: Eukaryota; Metazoa; Chordata; Mammalia; Primates; Hominidae
Description: retained intron
Source: RNAcentral
GGAAACAAUAUUUUUAGUUAUUGUCUAUUUAAGACCACAGAAAGCUUUAGACCUUUUUUUGUCAUUAUUUGUCUUGUUUUUUGCUUUCUUCAUUCUUGGAUUCCUCUUUAUCUAUUGCCCUUAAUUUAUUUUUAGUGCUUUGUAACUUAAUAUCUGUCAGUUGCUGCUUAAUUUCUUUCUCCUGUCUACACAGAACAUUUUCCUUCAUCUGUUCUUUUGUUCGUUUACAGCCCAAAAAUAUCCAAUGGUCCAUUUAUUGCAAAAAAGUGAUAACUCAUUUAACCAGGAACUGUUGAAAAGUAUGGUAAAAAGCAUUAAAAUGAAUGAUGUCUAUGGACCAAUGAGUCAGAUUUUAGAGACACUGAAUAAGUGUCCACAUUUUAAAAGACAGAGGAGUUUAUACAGAGAAAUACUAUUUCUCUCACUUGUGGCACUGGGAAGAGAAAACAUUGAUAUAGAUGCUUUUGAUAAAGAGUACAAGAUGGCAUACGAUCGUCUCACACCUAGUCAAGUCAAGAGUACACACAACUGUGAUAGACCACCAAGUACAGGGGUGAUGGAAUGUCGAAAAACCUUUGGAGAACCUUAUCUUUAAGAUGUAUUUGUAUGUGUAAACAUUCAAUGU